RNAcentral lists this ribosomal RNA (239 nucleotides) under uncultured bacterium. RNAcentral describes it as "partial 16S ribosomal RNA". It matches the Rfam family "Bacterial small subunit ribosomal RNA", at positions 97 to 334 of the family's 1533-position model. The record is from RNAcentral.
GGCGGACGGGUGAGUAACACGUGAUCAACAUAUUCACGGUACCGGGAUAGCCAACCGAAAGGGUGGGUAAUACCGGAUAAGACCACAGCAUCGCAUGGUGCAGUGGUAAAAGGUUUACUCCGACCGUGGAGUGGAUCGCGGCCUAUCAGCUUGUUGGUGAGGUAACGGCUCACCAAGGCAACGACGGGUAGCCGGCCUGAGAGGGUGGACGGCCACACUGGGACUGAGAUACGGCCCAG